UGGGUUUUGCAAAACCCUCUGCUUACUCUGACCACAGUAGAUUUCGCCUGAAGUCUAGAGACAAUGUGUGAUGGACGCAGGAAGAGACGAGACUUUAUCAACUUCCUGUAGCUGGAGCUACCAGCUGAGUUCCUCAUUUGAGGCUCGGUGGAGCCGGGGUGUUGGAGGAAGCACUGAGGGCCCCUCGCUGCCCCCAUCAUGGCAUCGGCUCUCAUGAUCCUCUUCCUUGGCUGCUGGCUGGCCGGGCAGAGCGGGGUGUCGGGAGACGCUGGUUCUAUUCCCACAGGGGGAACCAACCUGACUCAGCCGGGAAUGAUGCCGGCUCCUACCCGCCCAGGCAGCGCAGGACCGAGUAACAAGUCUGGGAGCAGGAAAUCACCAUCAACAACCCCACAGACAGAUGCUGGUUCUAUUCCUGCAGGGGGAACUGACCUAACUCAGCCAGGAACGACGCCGGCUCCCACCCACCCAGGCAGCGCGAAGCCAGAUGCUGGUUCUAUUCCCACCGAGGGACCCGGCCAAAUUCAACCUGGAGUGGCGCCGAUUCCCGCCUGCCCGGACAGUGCGGGCCCAGAUGGAUCAGAACCACCGAUGCUGGCACUUCCGAAUCCGACCUGUCCCACCAUCAUCGGGUUGAGCACGGCAGCCGCUCUCCUCCUCCUCCUCCUCCUCGUGGCCUUCGUCUGCUUCAGAAAAACCCGAGCCAAUUCGUGAACAAUGGGAUGCGAUCCUGACUGAGUCCAAAUUAGUAGCACAGAAUAUUAGCAUUUCGUUGGAGUUCUCCACCAAUCGCAGCUUACCGACCGAAUGGGAUGCCGAGCAGCAUUCAAGGGUCAACAGAGCAAUGAAGAUCUACUUUCUGCAACUGAACAAUUGCAGCAAUAGUAAACCAAAGGAAUCUCAAAAGAUCUCACUGACGAGGCCAUCUUCCUCAGACGAAUCUAUUCCACCAACUUCACAUUGGGUUGCAAGCCAAAGGAAUUGCUUCAAGAAAUAUUCGAACUUGGACUCUCCGGGGUGUUUCCUGAUAUCACAAUUGCAUUGUGUAUAUUACCUGUGGGAGAACACUUCAACCUCCCUGGCCACACAAUAGCAGAUCUUAAGGUGGCCAUCCUGUAGCAAAAAAACUUCAGGACCAGACUUCAAAGAGAAACUGCUGAGCUUCAGUUCAUCUG
This is an RNA transcript of Mauremys reevesii (Reeves's turtle), 1175 nucleotides long. It is a transcript of the gene named cuticle collagen 34-like, with no coding region annotated. The record is from RefSeq and is a predicted model, not a curated record. Lineage: Eukaryota; Metazoa; Chordata; Testudines; Geoemydidae. The transcript is spliced from 8 exons.